RNAcentral lists this ribosomal RNA (556 nucleotides) under uncultured bacterium. Its description in RNAcentral is "bacterial SSU rRNA". It matches the Rfam family "Bacterial small subunit ribosomal RNA", at positions 777 to 1345 of the family's 1533-position model. The record is from RNAcentral.
AAUAGAUACCCAGGUAGUCCACGCCGUAAACGAUGGAUGCUAGCUGUUAUGCGUAUCGACCCGUGUAGUAGCGAAGCUAACGCGUUAAGCAUCCCGCCUGGGGAGUACGAACGCAAGUUUAAAACUCAAAGGAAUUGACGGGGACCCGCACAAGCGGUGGAGCGUGUUCUUUAAUUCGAGGCUAAGCGAAGAACCUUACCAGGGCUUGACAUCCUUGGAAUUUCUCCGAAAGGAGAGAGUACUUUAUUGGACCAAGUGACAGGUGCUGCAUGGCCGUCGUCGGCUCGUGUCGUGAGAUGUUUGGUUAAGUCCAUUAACGAGCGCAACCCUUAUGAAUAGUUGUAUUUUUCUAUUCAGACUGCCCCGGUAACGGGGAGGAAGGGGGGGUAUGAUGUCAGGUCAGUAUUGCCCUUACGCCCUGGGCUAGAAACGCGCUACAAUGGCCGGUACAAUGCGCUGCCAACCCGCGAGGGGGAGCAAAUCGCAUCAAAGCCGGUCCCAGUUCGGAUAAGAGGCUGAAACUCGCCUCUUUGAAGCCGGAAUCGCUAGUAAUCGU